This 385-nucleotide ribosomal RNA is filed under the name uncultured bacterium. Its description in RNAcentral is "bacterial SSU rRNA". It matches the Rfam family "Bacterial small subunit ribosomal RNA", at positions 123 to 541 of the family's 1533-position model. The record is from RNAcentral.
UAUCUACCCUUUGGCCUGGAAUAACACGAGGAAACUUGUGCUAAUACCGGAUAAGUCUUUACGGAGAAAGCUUUAUGCACCAUUGGAUGAGCCUGCACUUGAUUAGUUUGUCGGUGGGGUAAUGGCCUACCAAGACUGUGAUCAAUAGCUGAUUUGAGAGGAUGAUCAGCCACAUUGGGACUGAGACACGGCCCAAACUCCUACGGGAGGCAGCAGUGGGGAAUCUUGCACAAUGGAGGAAACUCUGAUGCAGCGAUGCCGCGUGAGUGAAGAAGGCCCUUGGGUUGUAAAGCUCUUUCGUCGGGGAAGAAAAUGACUGUACCCGAAUAAGAAGGUCCGGCUAACUUCGUGCCAGCAGCCGCGGUAAUACGAAGGGACCUAGCGU